RNAcentral lists this ribosomal RNA (104 nucleotides) under Yersinia bercovieri. RNAcentral describes it as "partial 23S ribosomal RNA". Lineage: Bacteria; Pseudomonadati; Pseudomonadota; Gammaproteobacteria; Enterobacterales; Yersiniaceae. The record is from RNAcentral.
CGCGGAAGAUGUAACGGGGCUAAACCAUGCACCGAAGCUGCGGCAGCUUCGCUUAGGUGUUGUUGGGUAGGGGAGCGUUCUGUAAGCCGUUGAAGGUGACCUGU